GACGAACGCUGGCGGCGUGCUUAACACAUGCAAGUCGAACGGAAAGGCCUGUCCUUCCUUGUGUUGGACGGGUACUCGAGUGGCGAACGGGUGAGUAACACGUGAGUGAUCUGCCCCCAACUUGGGUAUAAGCCUGGGAAACUGGGUCUAAUUCCCGAUAGGACUGCAGGGUGGUGCCUGUGGUGGAAAACGAUUUUCUAGUGGUUGGGGAUGAGCUCGCGGCCUAUCAGCUUGUUGGUGGGGUAAUGGCCUACCAAGGCGGCGACGGGUAGCCGGCCUGAGAGGGUGGACGGCCACAUUGGGACUGAGAUACGGCCCAGACGCCUACGGGAGGCAGCAGUGGGGAAUAUUGCACAAUGGGCGGAAGCCUGAUGCAGCGACGCCGCGUGGGGGAUGACGGCCUUCGGGUUGUAAACUCCUUUCGACCGCGAGGAAGCCGCCUGGUUGGAAGGGUGGUGACGGUAGUGGUAGAAGAAACACCGGCUAACUACGU
This 493-nucleotide ribosomal RNA is filed under the name uncultured bacterium. RNAcentral's name for it is "partial 16S ribosomal RNA". It matches the Rfam family "Bacterial small subunit ribosomal RNA", at positions 28 to 506 of the family's 1533-position model. The record is from RNAcentral.